Long non-coding RNA from Mus musculus (house mouse), 1301 nucleotides. RefSeq annotates it as predicted gene, 46016. The transcript is spliced from 4 exons. Lineage: Eukaryota; Metazoa; Chordata; Mammalia; Rodentia; Muridae. The record is from RefSeq and is a predicted model, not a curated record.
AGGCAAAGUCCUGGGAAUUUGUUUUUGAGAUCUGGGACAAGGAUUCAGGACUUGCCUGUGAAGCUCCCCACCCCGACAAUCCUUAAUUAGCAGCCCAUGAUGGAGAACAGCUCACCAGGCUGAGUGGUGGGAGUAGAGCAGCUGCUGAGGAGGACCAGGAAGCUUAAUCAAUGUGGGACACAUGAUCCGCACGGUGGUGGAGCAGCCUGAUGCAUCCCUCUCCAUUGACAUCAUGUCAAUAGCAGAGCUGGUGUUGAACUGUAUACAUAUGGCACUUGAGCUGCAGGCCCCUGGACCCUUAGAAGAGAACACGGACAGAACCCACAGAUUGGCAUCUCUGGCCCUCUGGCCUAUUGGGGUUUAUACUGUGGCUAGAAGUCCAUGUUCCCUUCCCUGCCACCAAAGUGACCAACUUCUGGAUGGGAGGCUUGGAGCCACAUAUAUCCCUUUCUGCAGGCUCAGUUCUCUUGGCUUCUCUGGAUGCCCUGCCUUUUGAACCCUUUGCUCUGUGCUGGUUCUGCUUUGCCUUCUUGGGGAGCUAGGCACUCAGAAGGAAAGAAUAUGUCACUGCAUCUGACAGCUUUUCAUCACCAGGACCAAAAUGGGAGGAAGAAGAGGAGCAUCAUCGGGACAUGGCAGCAGCAAGAGACACACACAGCCAACUACAGGGCCCAGAAGAGAGGCACACCUACCACCUUUAGUCUGAGGGUUGAAGAAGAAAGCUGUCCAGAAUGUGUCAGUUAUGGCACACCAGCAUCGCAAGGACGUCACUAAGAGACCCGUAACCAAGAUGCAAGAAGAAUCAGGCAAACACUGACCAACUAGGCCUCCCUCCAAAGGCAUCCAACACCUGACUGGACCUUGACUCCCAACUCCCCACACCAAUCCUGGCUGGUCAGGAGUUAGGGACAAAUGCUUUAGCCCCAAAAGACUAAAAUCCUCCUACGCCAAUGGUAGAUGCUGUUAUUAAAUGUUUCGGCAGCAAAAUUAAAUAAGAAUAACCAGUAUUUUGAAAUUCUGAACAUCUUAUAAUUAGACCGGCCUUUUAAAAAAGUAUUCCAACUUAAGGCACAUUGGAAUGUAGCCCACAACACAGAGACAGCCUGACAAAGAAACAUUAUUCUUAGAUUUACAAUUAAUUACCCUUAUGUCUAUACCUUGCAUUCAAUUUGCAUAUCUUAAAACUGCUGUAAAUUUCCCGGGACUCCUUAUUAUUUAAGAUCAUUCCGCUUAGUAAAAAGUUUCUUCCGUAGUAACUUUCUGUUGAUUGGUCAGUAAAUCUGGCUCCGCUUUGCUUUGUA